RNAcentral lists this ribosomal RNA (254 nucleotides) under uncultured bacterium. RNAcentral's name for it is "partial 16S ribosomal RNA". It matches the Rfam family "Bacterial small subunit ribosomal RNA", at positions 524 to 776 of the family's 1533-position model. The record is from RNAcentral.
UACAGAGGUCUCAAGCGUUGUUCGGAUUCAUUGGGCGUAAAGGGUGCGUAGGUGGCGCCGUAAGUCGGGUGUGAAAUUUCGGAGCUUAACUCCGAAACUGCAUUCGAUACUGCGGUGCUUGAGGACUGGAGAGGAGACUGGAAUUCAUGGUGUAGCAGUGAAAUGCGUAGAGAUCAUGAGGAAGACCAGUGGCGAAGGCGGGUCUCUGGACAGUUCCUGACACUGAGGCACGAAGGCCAGGGGGAGCAAACGGG